GACGAACGCUGGCGGCGCGCCUAACACAUGCAAGUCGAACGGAGCUGAGAGAAGCUUGCUUUUCUUAGCUUAGUGGCGAACGGGUGAGUAACGCGUGAGUAACCUGCCCUGGAGUGGGGGACAACAGUUGGAAACGACUGCUAAUACCGCAUAAGCCCACGAUCCGGCAUCGGCUUGAGUGAAAAGGAUUUAUUCGCUUCAGGAUGGACUCGCGUCCAAUUAGCUAGUUGGUGAGGUAACGGCCCACCAAGGCGACGAUUGGUAGCCGGACUGAGAGGUUGAACGGCCACAUUGGGACUGAGACACGGCCCAGACUCCUACGGGAGGCAGCAGUGGGGGAUAUUGCACAAUGGGGGAAAGCCUGAUGCAGCGACGCCGCGUGGAGGAAGAAGGUUUUCGGAUUGUAAACUCCUGUCGUGAGGGACGAUAAUGACGGUACCUAACAAGAAAGCACCGGCUAACUACGUG
This 468-nucleotide ribosomal RNA is filed under the name uncultured bacterium. Its description in RNAcentral is "partial 16S ribosomal RNA". It matches the Rfam family "Bacterial small subunit ribosomal RNA", at positions 28 to 507 of the family's 1533-position model. The record is from RNAcentral.